UGUGUAUGUGGCUCUGUGGAUCUGUGCUAUGUUCAUGAGGUACCAUAUUCUGCAUUUAAACCAAGUGCACACUGGUACACAAAUUUCUCUCUCUCUCUCUCUCUCUCUCUCUCUCUCUCUCUCUCUCUCUCUCUCUCUCUCUCUCUCUCUCUCUCUCUCUCUCUCUCUCUCUCUCGCUCUCUCUCUCUCUCGCUCUCAUCUGUUUAAUGGAUUUUUUUUUGGGGAAGAAGCCAAAUCUUUGCAGCCGGCGGAUGCUACACCCAACAAACCAGUGGCCAUAUUUUGUAGCCAUUAUCUGCUUGUGAUAAGAUAUAACGGCUGCGCGUGUGAUCUCAAUCGCCUGCUCGCGUACACCAGGAGGCGGGAGCAGCUCGAGCGGCUAGGGAACCCACAGCCAGGAGAUAAAAGCGUGCGUGGGAGGGACUGGAUAAGCUCCCCUCGCAGCUAACACCACAGCAACGGGGCGGGUGAAUAUAAACACAUUCUGAUUAAACUCAGAGCCUGCUGAUAGCCACCAUGUUUCAACGAGGAGAGGACGAGGCGGGAUAAAUGAAAUGAACGGAGUAAGUCGCUGCUUCUUCUUUUUUCUUUAUUUUUUACGCCAGCAUGGAUUGUAAUAUUUGAUUCAGCAGUAUUGGCAUACUACCUUAUGAACAUUAUUCUUAUUAUAAUUAUUGCAAACGAGUGGGCCUACAUAAUGUAUCGUAUGCCAAAGGCUUAAAGCUUUCGACCGUUGUUGAACUUGGAAGUGGGCUACACUUCUCUCUGCGUUCAAGUCACAUAGACACGCAUGCAGGCUAGAUUAUGUGCGUUUCAAAAUAAGGAUCCUGGUGGAUGAAGCCUAUAAUCUCGGUUUACGUGGGUCGUUUUCUAAAUUGGAUACCCAUUAAUGUUGGCUACUCACAGUGCUUAAAGCGCAUUUACCUAACGACCCGUGGAUUUAUAUAAAACAAGCUGACAGAACUAUCAGUCUAGCCCUUUAACACUACAGUGUAGCUGUGUGUGCACACCUUAUAGCCUACAUUAAACGAUGCCAAGACACUUUGCAACGAUGUUGCAAUUAAAGUUGUUUAUUUUUAACGCAAAACUUAUCUUCCGUUAUCAGGGAAUGGUGUGGACGAUGCUGUGCUGAGGACACAUUGAGAGUGAG
RNAcentral lists this long non-coding RNA (1150 nucleotides) under Gadus morhua (Atlantic cod). RNAcentral's name for it is "lncRNA (ENSGMOG00000032531.1)". Lineage: Eukaryota; Metazoa; Chordata; Actinopteri; Gadiformes; Gadidae. The record is from RNAcentral.